AUCGCUUCUUGGCCUUUUGGCUAAGAUCAAGUGAAGUAUCUGUUCUUAUCAGUUUAAUAUCUGAUACGUCCUCUAUCCAAGGACAAUAUAUUAAAUGGAUUUUUGGAGCCGGGAGAUGGAAUAGGGGCUUGCUCCCGUCCACUCCGCGCAUCGACCCGGUAUUGCAGUACUUCCGGGAAUGGUGCACCUCCC
This is a small nuclear RNA of Panthera leo (lion), 192 nucleotides long. Its record names the gene U2. It matches the Rfam family "U2 spliceosomal RNA". From Rfam's summary of the family: U2 is a small nuclear RNA (snRNA) component of the spliceosome (involved in pre-mRNA splicing). Complementary binding between U2 snRNA (in an area lying towards the 5' end but 3' to hairpin I) and the branchpoint sequence (BPS) of the intron results the bulging out of an unpaired adenosine, on the BPS, which initiates a nucleophilic attack at the intronic 5' splice site, thus starting the first of two transesterification reactions that mediate splicing. Lineage: Eukaryota; Metazoa; Chordata; Mammalia; Carnivora; Felidae. The record is from Ensembl.